AGCGAGAGAGCAGUUUGUUAAUAAUAAUUCACUCGCAAAAUCUCAAGGAGUUGGAAGCAAAAAUUGAGCUCUGGGUCAAUGGCAAAGAAGUCUUUGUUGAACCAGUACUUGUUGCAGCUUCAGCAUCAUCCACUGAGAACCGAGGCAAUUACAGCAGGGGUGUUGUCGGGGAUCAGUGACUUGGUUUCGCAGAAGCUCACUGGGAUACAGAAGAUUCAACUGAGAAGGCUUGUUCUCAAAGUGUCAUGGUGAACACCGACUACCUAGCCAUCUUCCAAUCCCAUAAUGGAGACAUUGUUGCAAUUAGGAUGGUUUAGGGAAGAGCAUGGCAGUGGAGGGGAUAGGCUCGAUUUCACAAUGAAUGUCGUUCUUCGGUUGCCCAUCUCUCU
This is a long non-coding RNA of Quercus lobata, 389 nucleotides long. RefSeq lists it as uncharacterized. NCBI's taxonomy places the organism in Eukaryota, Viridiplantae, Streptophyta, Magnoliopsida, Fagales, Fagaceae. The record is from RefSeq and is a predicted model, not a curated record. The transcript is spliced from 3 exons.